This 541-nucleotide ribosomal RNA is filed under the name Lodderomyces parapsilosis. Its description in RNAcentral is "Candida parapsilosis partial large subunit ribosomal RNA". It matches the Rfam family "Eukaryotic large subunit ribosomal RNA", at positions 96 to 653 of the family's 3401-position model. The record is from RNAcentral. Lineage: Eukaryota; Fungi; Ascomycota; Pichiomycetes; Serinales; Debaryomycetaceae.
AAGCGGCAAAAGCUCAAAUUUGAAAUCUGGCACUUUCAGUGUCCGAGUUGUAAUUUGAAGAAGGUAUCUUUGGGUCUGGCUCUUGUCUAUGUUUCUUGGAACAGAACGUCACAGAGGGUGAGAAUCCCGUGCGAUGAGAUGUCCCAGACCUAUGUAAAGUUCCUUCGAAGAGUCGAGUUGUUUGGGAAUGCAGCUCUAAGUGGGUGGUAAAUUCCAUCUAAAGCUAAAUAUUGGCGAGAGACCGAUAGCGAACAAGUACAGUGAUGGAAAGAUGAAAAGAACUUUGAAAAGAGAGUGAAAAAGUACGUGAAAUUGUUGAAAGGGAAGGGCUUGAGAUCAGACUUGGUAUUUUGUAUGUUACUCUCUCGGGGGUGGCCUCUACAGUUUACCGGGCCAGCAUCAGUUUGAGCGGUAGGAUAAGUGCAAAGAAAUGUGGCACUGCUUCGGUAGUGUGUUAUAGUCUUUGUCGAUACUGCCAGCUUAGACUGAGGACUGCGGCUUCGGCCUAGGAUGUUGGCAUAAUGAUCUUAAGUCGCCCGUC